AUUUAUUUAUGCAUAUAUUCUAUGAUUUUAGCCUCUUUAUAUGGGUUGCAGUUACUUAUUUAUAGUGCAAUUUUAUCUGAUUGGUACAUACACCUUCUUUAAAUUGGAUUCUCUGGAUUUCAAUUUUGUAAAUUGCAUAUGUCCCUCAUCACCCGUGUCUUUAUUGUCACCUUACUCUUGAUAAGAUAUAUAGAGCAUCUAUUUCAGCUGUGCAAUGGCUUUUCAUUAAAUAUCAACAUAUUUGCGCUUUCUUUAGCCCAAAGGAUGUUUUAACUGAUGGAAAAUGUGUCUGCUCUUCAUACUCCUCUAUAAUUAUACUAAGGUAUUCUGUUUGGCACCUUACUUGUCUCCCAUCCGAUGUACCAUAUGACUCCGAUACUGAUGGGAGCUGGCAUCUCUUUGCUCCAAUUCAAAAGGAGUGACAGGUAUUGUUUGCCAUAUUUUGCAAAGAGAACAUAUCUCGCAUGGUUUUUAUUGUAUAUAGGGAUCCUGUUGCUAUUAUUUAAUCUCAAA
RNAcentral lists this long non-coding RNA (513 nucleotides) under Elaeis guineensis (African oil palm). Its description in RNAcentral is "long non-coding RNA (EGUI_LNC019945)". Lineage: Eukaryota; Viridiplantae; Streptophyta; Magnoliopsida; Arecales; Arecaceae. The record is from RNAcentral.